AGUGGACGCUGGCGGUAGGCCUAACACAUGCAAGUCGAACGGCAGCACAGUAAGAGCUUGCUCUUACGGGUGGCGAGUGGCGGACGGGUGAGGAAUACAUCGGAAUCUACUUUUUCGUGGGGGAUAACGUAGGGAAACUUACGCUAAUACCGCAUACGACCUACGGGUGAAAGCAGGGGAUCUUCGGGCCUUGCGCGAUUGAAUGAGCCGAUGUCGGAUUAGCUAGUUGGCGGGGUAAAGGCCCACCAAGGCGACGAUCCGUAGCUGGUCUGAGAGGAUGAUCAGCCACACUGGAACUGAGACACGGUCCAGACUCCUACGGGAGGCAGCAGUGGGGAAUAUUGGACAAUGGGCGCAAGCCUGAUCCAGCCAUACCGCGUGGGUGAAGAAGGCCUUCGGGUUGUAAAGCCCUUUUGUUGGGAAAGAAAAGCAGCAGGUUAAUACCCCGCUGUUCUGACGGUACCCAAAGAAUAAGCACCGGCUAACUUCGUG
This 492-nucleotide ribosomal RNA is filed under the name uncultured bacterium. RNAcentral's name for it is "partial 16S ribosomal RNA". It matches the Rfam family "Bacterial small subunit ribosomal RNA", at positions 29 to 507 of the family's 1533-position model. The record is from RNAcentral.